Molecule: ribosomal RNA, 253 nt
Filed under: uncultured bacterium
Lineage: Bacteria
Description: partial 16S ribosomal RNA
Rfam family: Bacterial small subunit ribosomal RNA
Source: RNAcentral
UACGUAGGGUGCGAGCGUUGUCCGGAAUUAUUGGGCGUAAAGGGCUCGUAGGCGGCCAACUAAGUCAUACGUGAAAUCCCUCAGCUUAACUGGGGAACUGCGUGUGAUACUGGAUGGCUUGGAUGUGGGAGAGGGAUGCGGAAUUCCAGGUGUAGCGGUGAAAUGCGUAGAUAUCUGGAGGAACACCGGUGGCGAAGGCGGCAUCCUGGACCAUUAUUGACGCUGAGGAGCGAAAGCCAGGGGAGCAAACGGG